This 950-nucleotide ribosomal RNA is filed under the name uncultured bacterium. RNAcentral describes it as "bacterial SSU rRNA". It matches the Rfam family "Bacterial small subunit ribosomal RNA", at positions 335 to 1283 of the family's 1533-position model. The record is from RNAcentral.
ACUCCUACGGGAGGCAGCAGUGGGGAAUUUUGGACAAUGGGGGCAACCCUGAUCCAGCAAUGCCGCGUGAGUGAAGAAGGCCUUCGGGUUGUAAAGCUCUUUUGUCAGGGAAGAAACGGUCCGGGCUAAUAUCCUGGGCUAAUGACGGUACCUGAAGAAUAAGCACCGGCUAACUACGUGCCAGCAGCCGCGGUAAUACGUAGGGUGCGAGCGUUAAUCGGAAUUACUGGGCGUAAAGCGUGCGCAGGCGGUUGUGCAAGACAGAUGUGAAAUCCCCGGGCUCAACCUGGGAAUUGCAUUUGUGACUGCACGGCUAGAGUGUGUCAGAGGGGGGUAGAAUUCCACGUGUAGCAGUGAAAUGCGUAGAGAUGUGGAGGAAUACCGAUGGCGAAGGCAGCCCCCUGGGAUAACACUGACGCUCAUGCACGAAAGCGUGGGGAGCAAACAGGAUUAGAUACCCUGGUAGUCCACGCCCUAAACGAUGUCAACUAGUUGUCGGGUCUUAAUUGACUUGGUAACGCAGCUAACGCGUGAAGUUGACCGCCUGGGGAGUACGGUCGCAAGAUUAAAACUCAAAGGAAUUGACGGGGACCCGCACAAGCGGUGGAUGAUGUGGAUUAAUUCGAUGCAACGCGAAAAACCUUACCUACCCUUGACAUGGCAGGAAUCCCGGAGAGAUUCGGGAGUGCUCGAAAGAGAACCUGCACACAGGUGCUGCAUGGCUGUCGUCAGCUCGUGUCGCGAGAUGUUGGGUUAAGUCCCGCAACGAGCGCAACCCUUGUCAUUAGUUGCUACGAAAGGGCACUCUAAUGAGACUGCCGGUGACAAACCGGAGGAAGGUGGGGAUGACGUCAAGUCCUCAUGGCCCUUAUGGGUAGGGCUUCACACGUCAUACAAUGGUACAUACAGAGGGCCGCCAACCCGCGAGGGGGAGCUAAUCCCAGAAAGUG